GUCGUAACAAGGUUUCCGUAGGUGAACCUGCGGAAGGAUCAUUACUGAGUGCGGGCUGCCUCCGGGCGCCCAACCUCCCACCCGUGACUACCUAACACUGUUGCUUCGGCGGGGAGCCCUCUCGGGGGCGAGCCGCCGGGGACUACUGAACUUCAUGCCUGAGAGUGAUGCAGUCUGAGUCUGAAUAUAAAAUCAGUCAAAACUUUCAACAAUGGAUCUCUUGGUUCCGGCAUCGAUGAAGAACGCAGCGAACUGCGAUAAGUAAUGUGAAUUGCAGAAUUCAGUGAAUCAUCGAGUCUUUGAACGCACAUUGCGCCCCCUGGCAUUCCGGGGGGCAUGCCUGUCCGAGCGUCAUUGCUGCCCAUCAAGCCCGGCUUGUGUGUUGGGUCGUCGUCCCCCCCGGGGGACGGGCCCGAAAGGCAGCGGCGGCACCGUGUCCGGUCCUCGAGCGUAUGGGGCUUUGUCACCCGCUCGAUUUAGGGCCGGCCGGGCGCCAGCCGACGUCCAACCAUUUUUCUUCAGGUUGACCUCGGAUCAGGUAGGGAUACCCGCUGAACUUAAGCAUAUCAAUAAGCGGAGGAAAAGAAACCAACCGGGAUUGCCCCAGUAACGGCGAGUGAAGCG
RNAcentral lists this unclassified non-coding RNA (624 nucleotides) under Aspergillus versicolor. RNAcentral describes it as "sequence contains ITS1, 5.8S rRNA gene, ITS2". The stretch from base 201 to 354 matches the Rfam family "5.8S ribosomal RNA". The record is from RNAcentral. Lineage: Eukaryota; Fungi; Ascomycota; Eurotiomycetes; Eurotiales; Aspergillaceae.